This is an RNA transcript of Pecten maximus, 6691 nucleotides long. It is a transcript of the gene named myosin-IIIa-like, with no coding region annotated. The record is from RefSeq and is a predicted model, not a curated record. The transcript is spliced from 32 exons. Lineage: Eukaryota; Metazoa; Mollusca; Bivalvia; Pectinida; Pectinidae.
AAAGCACAGGUAAACGGGUAGCAGUUUCAUACAGGAAGCAUACAUGAGAUGGACGGCAGACCCGCCCUAGGUAAAGUGGAGGAUCUCGCCACUUUGGCGAAACUCGACGAUAAAGUUCUUCUUGAGGAAUUAAGAGCAAGAUACAGAAACAAUGACAUAUACACUUAUGUUGGAGAUAUAUUGAUAGCUGUCAAUCCUUUCCGGGAGAUUCCAGGGCUGUAUGAAGAUGCUGAAAGUCAGCGAUAUUUCCUGGAGCAAAAGAGCUCUAACCCACCACACAUAUUUGCUGUUGCUGACACGACAUACCAGAACAUUAUUGGCUAUGGAGGACGAGUUCCACAAAACCAGUGUGUACUCAUCAGUGGGGAAAGUGGGGCUGGCAAGACAGAAAGUACCAAACUCAUCAUCAAACAGCUGAUCGAGCUUUGUAGGGGAAACACACAACUGGAACAACAAAUAUUACAGGUUAAUCCUCUCCUGGAAUCCUUUGGAAAUGCACAAACUUUGAUGAAUGACAACUCAAGUCGUUUUGGGAAAUACAUACAACUAGUGUUUAAAGACGGCCAUGUGAUGGGGGCGAAGAUAUCUGAAUACUUACUGGAGAAGUCCAGAGUUGUCAGUCAAGGCAAGAAUGAGGAGAACUUCCACAUCUUUUACUACAUGUUUGCUGGCUUGUCCAAUGAGUUCAAAGCAGCACAUUAUCUCCAGUCAGCAGAUAAAUUCAGAUACCUGACUAAUGGUGCAUGUUCCCUGAGUAGAGACCCUUCCCUGAUGAAGAGUCGUUAUGAGGACCUCGUCAAUGCGAUGGAUAUGGUGGGGUUUACGGAUGAGGACCAGAUGAGCACAUUCAACAUGUUAGCUAGUGUUCUACACCUGGGUAACGUCACAUUUGGCAUGGAUGAUAAUGACGCUGCAUUCAUAGAGGACGAAAAUGGAGCAGUCAAAGUUGCAUCUAAACUUCUGGGUAUCAGUACUCAGGAAGUGGUAGGUACUCUCACAGCGAUGGUGACCUUCACCCGCGGAGAACAGGUGAAGCGUAACUACACUGCUGAACGAGCUAGAGAUGCCUGUGAUGCCAUGGCCAAGGCUAUCUAUGGGCGUCUAUUUGGAUGGAUCGUUAACAAGGUUAACCAGUUACUGGCCCCUCCACUGAUGCAUGCAGAACAGAGAGAGAUUGGUAUAUUGGACAUCUUUGGCUUUGAACAUUUCGAGAAGAACAGCUUUGAGCAGGCAUGCAUCAACCUGGCCAAUGAGCAGCUCCAGUUUUUCUUUAAUCAGCAUGUCUUCAAGCUGGAACAAGACGAGUACACAAAGGAGGGUAUUGAUUGGACAGAGAUCAAAUUUGUGGACAAUCAGCCACUUUUGAAUUUGUUCCUGAACAAACCCAUUGGGAUCUUAUCCUUGCUGGAUGAAGAGAGCAACUUCCCAAAGGGAUCAGAUCACACCUUUGUUGACAAACUGAAUAUACAUUUUCAUGGGAAUGACUACUAUGAAAAAUCACAACAAAGUACAUCUGGCAAAUUCACAAUCCACCAUUAUGCUGGCAAGGUGGCCUAUGAUUCAUCCUUCUGGCUGGAAAAAAAUCGAGAUACUCUUCCGCCAGGUGUCAUGGAGAUAUUCCAAGGCAGUACAGAUGAACUUGUCAAGCUUAUGUUCAGAGGUCAGGUGACAAGAACUGGAAGUCUGUCUCUUCAAGCCAGGAAGUCUAUGAGCAGGAGGACACGCAGAAGCAAGAAACCCUCAAUGGAUGGACGCAAAAGGAAACUGACUGUUGGAGGGCAGUUCAAGAACUCCUUACAAAUAUUGAUGGAGAGAAUGAUGUCUUCCUCACCAGUGUUUGUGCGAUGUUUGAAACCAAAUCAUGUCAAGGUUCCUGGGAAGUUUGACGAAACUUACAUCAGAAAUCAGUUAUUAUAUACUGGCAUGUUGGAGACAAUCAAGAUUAGAAGAGAAGGUUUUGCCGUGCGACCAUCCUUCCCAGAAUUUGUGGAAAAGUACAAGAUCAUCCUGUGUAAACCAAGCCUGGAAGGUAACAAACAAAACUGUGUCCAGAUCCUCAAGGCCAGUAAAAUCACUGGCUGGCAAGUCGGGAAAACUAAAGUGUUUAUGAAGUACUAUCACCUUGAACAGUUGUCAGAAAUCUUCAAAGUUAUGGGAAAGUCUGCUGUUCACUUUCAGAAAGUUGUGAGAGGGUUCCUGGCCAGACAGCGAGUCAAGGUACUGAGGCUGGAAGCUCAGAAGCAGACACAGCGUGUGUACAACUUCCUCAGCCAGAUAAAUAAUCUGUCUAUAGAAUUCAACAAUCACCAGCACAGUGCCAGAGUCCAUGACAAAUCAAUUCCUCCUGCAUACUUCACAGGAGGAGAUUAUGCAUUACCUCCCCCUCCUGUUCCUACAUUUGAUGGCGUAGCAACUCCUCCAGGCUCGGGGAACAAAUAUAUGGAACCUGUAGGUCCCACUUCUCGUUCAUUUGGGACUCAGGCUGAAAACUCUGAUUCAGAUCAGUUCUCAGAUGAUGAGUUCAAGCCAAUAUCGUCAACACAAUUUGGUACACCUGGGACACGCCAGGCAACGGUCAAAUGGUUCAAGGAGACACAAGCUCAACAGGUGUAUGAUCCGGCCGUCAGUAGCUUCAUUGCUGAAUGGUUCCACGGUGUUAUCAGUCGGAGGAGUUCUGAGGUCCUUCUUGGCUCCAAGCCCAUUGGCUGUUUUCUCAUCAGAGUCAGUGAAAGUCGAUUUGGAUACUCCUUAUCAUUCAGAGCUGAGGGCAGAGUUAGACAUUAUAUGAUCGACCAACUCCCCAAUAAAAAGUUUGUUAUUGUUGGUGAGAAAAAGGUACAUCGAACAUUGAAGGACCUGGUAGACUACUACAGCACGAAUCAUCUUUCUAACUGGGAUGGAUAUUUGUCUGAAUCCUGUGGACAGGAGGACGGAAACUGUGAUUAUCAGGAACUAAUCGCUGACAACUAUUACUUUAAACUCGAACAAGAGGCGCCAUCUCAUAGGCCGAAUUCUUCAGGCCCUAGAAGACAACAGGCUAGUAGAAUACGAGCAAGCCGUACUCCAGUUGGUGCCCCUCAGAGAGACCCCACAGUGUCAGGGCCUCCUAUUCCUGACCGGAACUACACCAUACCAAAAAAUACCAAUGUCAAGAUACGGUCAUCUGCAGCGAUGAGUGGAAGACCACUCCCCCAACGUCCCGACGAAGCCCACAAGAGACUUCUCCAAAAUCAGAACACAGACCAGUAGUGACGGUGUCCUUAUCAGCGAGGAAACUAGUUCAUCGAUCAUAAUUUAGCUGAACUACAGAGGACCAAAUACGACUAUUGAUGGUAAUGCUGAUGCUGGGACUUGGUGCUUGAUUAGAUUGUAUCGUACGUAACAGUCGUUCUACAACGGGUGAUACACUAGUGGUCUGUGACUGUAUGUACGUCUUACUCACGUCGUAUGUGAUUCGGUGACUUUCUCCAGUUUUGUUAUAUAAUAUUUUCACUUUGCAUAUUAGUUUACAUUUGUGUAACCAAAGAUUGUGCAUACACAUAUUUAGUUAUGUAACGCAUUGAAAAUAUACCUUCACCGACAAUUCUUCUCUUCUUGAAGUCAUAUUCAUCAACAACAACAACGCUCAGAAUGGAUCCCAGGAGAUCAAAUGAGUUUGACAAGGGCCAAUAGUCAGUUACCAUGCUGGGACGAAUGGAAAAUAAUGAACAAACAUUGAUAUGCUUUUAAGGUCACAGUGUUGUGAUCAGUUGAAUGUCAAAUUUCAGUUUAAAAACAAAACUUUUAUCAGUACAUCCCAGAACUCAGGUGAUCGAUAACGAUCUUGGGUCUCUUGUUGGACAAUUUAGAAUUCAGUUUUUAGGGGAUGAAUGUAAAAUUUAUUAUCAACUAAAGAAUAUUUUGAACAAAAACAAUGAAUUAGUGAUGCAUUUAUUUCAAUGUAAACGAAAGCAGAUAAAAUAAUAUAAACCCCUUACGGCCACACUGUACAUACUUGACGGUUCCUAUUUCCAGUAGAUGUAAGUUCCUUCCCAGAUUAAAUGAAAUCCGUAGCCUUUCAUCCUUUCACAGUACACUACUUGUCAUGCUGUCAUUGGGUUCACGUGUAUUUGUACCUGUUAUAAGUCAUAUAUCCUGAUGAUAAAUUUGUUUCUGUUUGUAUUUUCUAACUUAAUAUACCCUUUACCUACUAAUUUUCGCGCCUAUGAAACUUUGCGUUUCCACCAAAUACGAUAAGUUUGCGGCUAUUGAUUCGUUUUCAUUUUCUGUUAAAAUUUGUUGUUUCAGACUUCAGACAGAAAAAAACAAGUUAUCGCUAUUAUUUUCUGCGGAUUUAAGUUGCCGCCGUCAUUUUUUGCGAGCAACGCAAAAUUAAUUGUGCGUUAACAUUAGUAGGUUUAAAUCAUUUCAUCUUAAGGUAAUAUAUGUUGUAUGGAUUUAUUAUUCUAUUAAUAUCACGUAUUGCUAAUUACAACAGCUCAUCACUGCUGUGAUAAAGUUAUUCAAAUCAAAAUGAUUAUAAUCCGACACAGCAUAUUUUUUACACGCCUUUGUAACCAUUUUGUUGUAAUGACGCUUGUAUUAUAUUAAGAUUUCCUACAGUGAGCAUGUGGCACUGGGGCCGAUAAGAAAAUACGGAAAGAGGAAGCCGCGAGUGAUAGGCAAUGACCUUAAACUGGAGUAAGUUGAAGGCAAGAGAUAAAAAUCGGCAUAAUCUGUAUUUUCAUGUUAUAUGAUUUUUUUCCUUAAAAGUUUAUUUGUUUGUAAGUAGUUAAAUGCUCGUAAUUAAUUUAGACACUUCUACUAUCGAAAUCAGAUUUUGAGUUUAAUUUUAAAUAAUCAGAUACAGUGAUUCUGAAAUAGUAUUGUUACCUCGGGAAGUGGAAACUGUUUAUUACAUUGUUUCGGAUGAAUUGUGUUUCGCUGAAAUUUAUUUCUGAUAUAAACCAAAAGCAUUUUUUUCCAUAGCAUUUUUGAAUGCUUCUAACGAGAUCGCUGUACGUUGUUAUCAUUCCAACGGAUUAUUGUAUCAUCAUGACAACAAGGGCCUUAUCCAGUGCAAUGACAUUAAUAUUAUUUUUGUUAUCGAUCUAUGCUGAUUUUUUAAAAGAACUAUUGUUAUAUUAAUGCAAUGGUUUGAACACAUGCUCAAAGUAUUCCACUCGAUGCAUAAUAACAUUAAGUCGUUUACUACUUAGCUUACUCCUCUAACGGAGUAUGGAUUUAUAUUAACUAGUGUACAGAUUGUAUUUUGCUUGUAAACGCGAAAAGUAGAUGCAAUAAAUGAAUGAGAUUUGCGGAGUUACAUUUAUUGAAUGAGAAAAGUAAGAGUUGUAUGUAAUUGUUCAGGAGAAAUAACAACAGUAUAAAUGUUGUGUACACUGUCGUUAAGUUGAUAUCUGUAACUCUAGCAACGAAUAUCACACAAUAUCCGCCGUCAUUCUGCUUCUGUUUAGUAUCUAGGAUAUAUUUAUCAAAGAUAUAAAACCAACAAUAAGAACCAUCUAACUGUAAUAAUUUUGCAGUGGAGCAUAUUUCAUGCUGGAUUUAAGAUAAUAUUUUUUACAGUGGAUUUAUGUUAAUAUUUCUGAAGUUUUAAUUUACUACACACGUUUUAUGCUGCACAAACUGCAAAGAAUGAAUUUUAUAAUUUGCAUGAACAGUUUUAAGUGUACAUAAACAACGAAGUAUGAAAUUUACUUUAUUCAUGAAAACGAAUACUAUAUAGAUGAACAACGAAGUAUAAAAUUACUAUAUGUAUAGACAGCCAAGUAGAAAUUUACUUAUCUGUAAAUAAUAAAACGCACUUUUACUAUCUGCAUAUGAUGCUGCGUAUGAAAAAGGAUGGUUACGGUAGGUCAAUUAAAUGGAACUCAUAGUGACAGUGACCUACUUUUUGAUACCAAAACUGCAGUUAAACUUAUCAAAUUAACGUUGAUGAUUUAAGUAUGAAUGCCGUGGCAUAUGCAUUGCACAUUGAUUUGUACCACUUGACAACGCAUUUUAUAUAUUGUUUAUUCAAUAGUCGAAUUAAUAUAUAUUUGUUGUAUUUUUAUUGUUAACAAUGAUGAGGCCUACUUUUUGGACCAAUGUCUUGUACUUAGCACUGCAUGUAACAAACAAUGGAAACUGACACAUGUAUAUCACUGUCAUAAAACUAUAACCUGAAUAUAGACUUAAUGUAACAUGAUGGAUGGUCAAUAGACUCCCAUUAGUUUAUGUGAAAGUCGGUAAUUGAAAUCCCAAAAUAUAUACACGUAUCAUCUUGGGGAAUAUGUUUUUCAUUACUCACUCCUGUAAUAUAUAUGUGCGAGAUUUGGCAAGUGAUACGACAAUAUGAAUAUUUACAUUAUAUUGUAUCUUCAUAAUUACCUUUAUUAAUGACAUUAAAUGGAAACUACAGAGUACUUACUCACGUUUAUUGCAUUCUUUGUUGUGGCAUUGUUCAUAUAUUGAAAUCCAUGAAAGUUGUUAGUACGCAGUGCCAAAAUGAAAAAUUCAAAAACAAAAUGACGCGUACACAAAUGUAACUACUGCUUUUGAAGGUAUUAAAUCAAAGUGUUUAAAUUGCCCUUAGUAUAAAAGUACUUUACUAUACUGAUUUGAUAUAUUUUUAUGUACUAGUAUUGUAUACGUAUACAUAUAUAUCUUGUUUAAAUAUUGAAAUGGCAUAAUAAAAGAAAAUAUUUUA